GAAUUGACUGGCUAGAUGACGCUAGCGGGAGGCCUAACACAUGCAAGCCGAGCGGUAGAGUGUCUUCGGAUACUUGAGAGCGGCGUACGGGUGCGGAACACGUGUGCAACCUGCCUUUAUCUGAGGGAUAGCCUUUCGAAAGGAAGAUUAAUACCUCAUAAUAUACUGAUUGGCAUCAAUUAGUAUUGAAAGCUCCGGCGGAUAGAGAUGGGCACGCGCAAGAUUAGAUAGUUGGUGAGGUAACGGCUCACCAAGUCAAUGAUCUUUAGGGGGCCUGAGAGGGUGAUCCCCCACACUGGUACUGAGACACGGACCAGACUCCUACGGGAGGCAGCAGUGAGGAAUAUUGGACAAUGGGUGCAAGCCUGAUCCAGCCAUCCCGCGUGAAGGACGACGGCCCUAUGGGUUGUAAACUUCUUUUGUACAGGGAUAAACCUACUCUCGUGAGGGUAGCUGAAGGUACUGUACGAAUAAGCACCGGCUAACUCCGUGCCAGCCGCCGCGGUAAUUCGUCGUGACUGGGAAA
RNAcentral lists this ribosomal RNA (526 nucleotides) under Riemerella anatipestifer. RNAcentral describes it as "bacterial SSU rRNA". It matches the Rfam family "Bacterial small subunit ribosomal RNA", at positions 36 to 538 of the family's 1533-position model. Lineage: Bacteria; Pseudomonadati; Bacteroidota; Flavobacteriia; Flavobacteriales; Weeksellaceae. The record is from RNAcentral.